CGUUCUGCCCUUCCAUGGUGUUCCUAGUAUCUCGUGGCUCAGUAUAACCGGAAGAAAAACUAUCUCCUCUUCCGUUGACACAAUUUCCUUUUAUCGAUAUCUCCGACGUAGUCAUUUCUUCAAGAAAAAAUCUUUUAGCUCAAAUCUCACAUCUGCUACACUCUCAAACUCCUCAAAUCUAUACUAAAAAAGCCCUAAUCUAAAAUCCCACUCAAAUCUACCAGCGGUUCAAACAUCAAUAACCAAAGCUUCCCUUUUUCCACAGAAAAUCAACUAUCUCUCCGAGACUUCAAAGAAAACCUAACGAAAUUAGAACACCAAACCUAUACUUCUCACAGUUUAUCAACAAUCUUCUCGAUUCACGCAUCCAAUCAAUCAAAAUCCACUUUUUUUUA
This 395-nucleotide long non-coding RNA is filed under the name Gossypium barbadense (sea-island cotton). RNAcentral's name for it is "long non-coding RNA (GBAR_LNC009858)". The record is from RNAcentral. Lineage: Eukaryota; Viridiplantae; Streptophyta; Magnoliopsida; Malvales; Malvaceae.